This 734-nucleotide ribosomal RNA is filed under the name uncultured organism. RNAcentral's name for it is "SSU rRNA". It matches the Rfam family "Bacterial small subunit ribosomal RNA", at positions 722 to 1470 of the family's 1533-position model. The record is from RNAcentral.
CAGCUUACUGGAUUGUAACUGACGCUGAUGCUCGAAAGUGUGGGUAUCAAACAGGAUUAGAUACCCUGGUAGUCCACACAGUAAACGAUGAAUACUCGCUGUUGGCGAUAUACAGUCAGCGGCCAAGCGAAAGCAUUAAGUAUUCCACCUGGGGAGUACGCCGGCAACGGUGAAACUCAAAGGAAUUGACGGGGGCCCGCACAAGCGGAGGAACAUGUGGUUUAAUUCGAUGAUACGCGAGGAACCUUACCCGGGCUUGAAUUGCAACUGAAUGAUGUGGAGACAUGUCAGCCGCAAGGCAGUUGUGAAGGUGCUGCAUGGUUGUCGUCAGCUCGUGCCGUGAGGUGUCGGCUUAAGUGCCAUAACGAGCGCAACCCUUAUCGAUAGUUACCAUCAGGUUAUGCUGGGGACUCUGUCGAGACUGCCGUCGUAAGAUGUGAGGAAGGUGGGGAUGACGUCAAAUCAGCACGGCCCUUACGUCCGGGGCUACACACGUGUUACAAUGGGGGGUACAGAAGGCAGCUACACGGUGACGUGAUGCUAAUCCCUAAAGCCUCUCUCAGUUCGGAUUGGAGUCUGCAACCCGACCCCAUGAAGCUGGAUUCGCUAGUAAUCGCGCAUCAGCCACGGCGCGGUGAAUACGUUCCCGGGCCUUGUACACACCGCCCGUCAAGCCAUGAAAGCCGGGGGUACCAAAAGUGCGUAACCGCAAGGAGCGCCCUAGGGUAAAACCC